GACGAACGCUGGCGGCGUGCUUAACACAUGCCAGUCGAACGGAAAGGCCCUGCUUUUGUGGGGUGCUCGAGUGGCGAACGGGUGAGUAACACGUGAGUAACCUGCCCUUGACUUUGGGAUAACUUCAGGAAACUGGGGCUAAUACCGGAUAGGAGCUCCUGCUGCAUGGUGGGGGUUGGAAAGUUUCGGCGGUUGGGGAUGGACUCGCGGCUUAUCAGCUUGUUGGUGGGGUAGUGGCUUACCAAGGCUUUGACGGGUAGCCGGCCUGAGAGGGUGACCGGCCACAUUGGGACUGAGAUACGGCCCAGACUCCUACGGGAGGCAGCAGUGGGGAAUAUUGCACAAUGGGCGGAUGCCUGAUGCAGCAACGCCGCGUGCGGGAUGACGGCCUUCGGGUUGUAAACCGCUUUCGCCUGUGACGAAGCGUGAGUGACGGUAAUGGGUAAAGAAGCACCGGCUAACUACGUG
Molecule: ribosomal RNA, 468 nt
Filed under: uncultured bacterium
Lineage: Bacteria
Description: partial 16S ribosomal RNA
Rfam family: Bacterial small subunit ribosomal RNA
Source: RNAcentral